ACCUGGCUGGCUCAGUCGGUAGAACAUGUGACUCUUGAUCUCAGGGUUGUGAGUUCAAGCCCCUUGUUGGGUG
This is a non-coding RNA of Ailuropoda melanoleuca (giant panda), 73 nucleotides long. The record is from Rfam. Lineage: Eukaryota; Metazoa; Chordata; Mammalia; Carnivora; Ursidae.